UACAGAGGUCCCAAGCGUUGUUCGGAUUCACUGGGCGUAAAGGGUGCGUAGGUGGUCGGGUAAGUCUGAUGUGAAAUCUCCGAGCUUAACUCGGAAAUGGCAUUGGAUACUAUUCGGCUAGAGGGUUUGAGGGGGGACUGGAAUACUUGGUGUAGCAGUGAAAUGCGUAGAUAUCAGGAAGAACAUCGGUGGCGAAGGCGCUCUGCUGGACCAUAACUGACACUCAGGGACGAAAGCUAGGGGAGCGAAUGGG
RNAcentral lists this ribosomal RNA (253 nucleotides) under uncultured bacterium. Its description in RNAcentral is "partial 16S ribosomal RNA". It matches the Rfam family "Bacterial small subunit ribosomal RNA", at positions 524 to 776 of the family's 1533-position model. The record is from RNAcentral.